CACGUAGGCGGCCUGGUAAGUCAGAUGUGAAGGCCCGGGGCUUAACCCCGGAAGUGCAUUUGAUACUGCCAGGCUUGAGUAUGGGAGAGGGAAGUGGAAUUCCUGGUGUAGAGGUGAAAUUCGUAGAUAUCAGGAGGAACACCGGUGGCGAAGGCGACUUCCUGGACCAAUACUGACGCUGAGGUGCGAAGGCGUGGGUAGCAAACA
This 207-nucleotide ribosomal RNA is filed under the name uncultured bacterium. RNAcentral's name for it is "partial 16S ribosomal RNA". It matches the Rfam family "Bacterial small subunit ribosomal RNA", at positions 568 to 774 of the family's 1533-position model. The record is from RNAcentral.